RNAcentral lists this ribosomal RNA (553 nucleotides) under uncultured Clostridium sp. RNAcentral's name for it is "bacterial SSU rRNA". It matches the Rfam family "Bacterial small subunit ribosomal RNA", at positions 137 to 709 of the family's 1533-position model. Lineage: Bacteria; Bacillati; Bacillota; Clostridia; Eubacteriales; Clostridiaceae. The record is from RNAcentral.
AGGGGGAUAGUCGUUGGAAACGACGAUUAAUACCGCAUGAGACCACAGAAUCGCAUGAUAUAGGGGUCAAAGAUUUAUCGGUGUAAGAAGGGCUCGCGUCUGAUUAGCUAGUUGGAAGGGUAAAGGCCUACCAAGGCGACGAUCAGUAGCCGGUCUGAGAGGAUGAACGGCCACAUUGGAACUGAGACACGGUCCAAACUCCUACGGGAGGCAGCAGUGGGGAAUAUUGCACAAUGGGGGGAACCCUGAUGCAGCGACGCCGCGUGAGCGAAGAAGGUUUUCGAAUCGUAAAGCUCUGUCCUAUGAGAAGAUAAUGACGGUAUCAUAGGAGGAAGCCCCGGCUAAAUACGUGCCAGCAGCCGCGGUAAUACGUAUAGGGCGAGCGUUGUCCGGAAUUAUUGGGCGUAAAGGGUACGUAGGCGGUUUUUUAAGUCAGGUGUGAAAGCGUGAGGCUUAACCUCAUUAAGCACUUGAAACUGGAAGACUUGAGUGAAGGAGAGGAAAGUGGAAUUCCUAGUGUAGCGGUGAAAUGCGUAGAUAUUAGGAGGAAUAC